CUUACACAUGCAAGUCGAACGAUGACCUCCAGCUUGCUGGGGUGAUUAGUGGCGAACGGGUGAGUAACACGUGAGUAACCUGCCCUUCACUCUGGGAUAAGCACUGGAAACGGUGUCUAAUACCGGAUACGAGCUUCCGCCGCAUGGUGAGGAGCUGGAAAGAAUUUUGGUGGGGGAUGGACUCGCGGCCUAUCAGGUAGUUGGUGAGGUAAUGGCUCACCAAGCCAACGACGGGUAGCCGGCCUGAGAGGGUGACCGGCCACACUGGGACUGAGACACGGCCCAAACUCCUACGGGAGGCAGCAGUGGGGAAUAUUGCACAAUGGGCGAAAGCCUGAUGCACCACCGCCGCGUGAGGGACGACGGCCUUCGGGUUGUAAACCUCUUUUAGUAGGGAAAAAGCGAAAGUGACGGUACCUGCAAAAAAAGCACCGGCUAACUACGUGCCAGCAGCCGCGGUAAUACGUAGGGUGCAAGCGUUGUCCGGAAUUAUUGGGCGUAAAGAGCUCGUAGGCGGUUUGUCGCGUCUGCUGUGAAAUCCGGAGGCUCAACCUCCGGCCUGCAGUGGGUACGGGCAGACUAGAGUGCGGUAGGGGAGAUUGGAAUUCCUGGUGUAGCGGUGGAAUGCGCAGAUAUCAGGAGGAACACCAAUGGCGAAGG
This 660-nucleotide ribosomal RNA is filed under the name uncultured bacterium. Its description in RNAcentral is "bacterial SSU rRNA". It matches the Rfam family "Bacterial small subunit ribosomal RNA", at positions 48 to 721 of the family's 1533-position model. The record is from RNAcentral.